CGCUGUGCUCUCCGAUAUAGUAAAUUGUUCUAUCCUGUUCCUCCACUAAUCCAGUCUCCAAGUUUUUAAUCUUUCAGGUUUUAGCUGCUCAUCGCUGGAUCCUUUCGUCGUCGUCCAUGUGGUUCCUGUCCUUCUGGACCCCUUGUUUUUCACGCUGCUCGUACGUUUUUCCACAUUCACAUGAUACUGCUUGCCUCCUGCUGGUGGUGGGGACCAUCAGCUUUACUAAAUAAAAGUAGAAAUAGAAAUUCACUAUUAGUAAUUUAGAAACUGUUCAACCAUGUAGAGUUAAAGUUUACAUUAAGUAAGGAAUGCUUGCCUGACAACAUGUUGUAUUAGAAACCAAAUUAAAGCAUCAGGACAAUAAGAAAUUAGAAGACAAAGGAGAACAUAGACAGAAUUUAUGAUUGAAGGAUUUAAUUAAAAGUUUUUAUUCAGAGAGACACUAGAGAACAGGAUCGGAGGAAAGGAAAUGGAGAGCAUGUGGAGUAAAGUUUUAUGUAGAUAAACUAUUAAUCUCAUGAAACAAAUAGUUUAUAUGGCUAACAGCAUGUUCAUGUGUUGCAACACAGCAAAAUCACAGAAGAUGAAUAGACAUUAAAAAAAUACCAAACUAGUCUCUGGUUCGGGUUCAGACUUCUCAGAUCUCUGAUUCUCUGGUCGUCCCAGGUUGGAUCUCCUCCGCCUGUAAUCCUCCACCUUCAGCACCACCAGUCAGGUGGAGGAAGAUAAGAGAACCCAGUUGACAAAAAAAGUAAGAAACUUAUUUUCAUUUUAAAUAUGGAAGAAAUUGAGGUCAAAUUUCAAAAUUGUUCUUCCUUCUGUCCAUGUAUAUUCUAUUUGUUAACCCUGUUGUCUUUUCUCUGGAUUUCAUUUCUACAUCAACUCAUGUCACAUGACAUGAGUUGACCAACAAUUAAAGCAGAAGACCAGCUCCGCCUGUAAUCCUCCUCCUUCAACACCACCAGUCAGGUGGAGGAAGAUAAGAGAACCCAGUUGACUAAAAAAAGUAAGAACAUUUAUAUCUACACAACAUGAUUAAUCAUUUCAAAUAUAGCUGCGGAGAGCUGAACUGAAAGUUAGAAACUGUCUGCUGUCCAUGCAUAUUUUCCUCCUUCACUUUAUCUUCUCUCUUUAUUUCAUUUCUCUGUGAACUCAUGUGAUGACUGGAGUUGACCAACAAUUAAAGCAGAAGACCUGCUCCACCUGCUGAUCUACUGGUUGUAACAGCUUGUGGGAAAGCAUCACUGGACCAAUCAGGCGAGAGAAGACAGAGAGGACUGAGGACUGAAACGAAAAUACUCUGCCUGCCAAAAAAGGUUUGAGGCAGACCGACCGCUGGGGAGAUGGACCUCACCUGACACCAUUACUCUGGAUGUAACAGGUAGCUCGACUCUGCUGUCAAAACAUCAAUGACUCGAGAAGCGGACAGCGAGAUUUCUGGUGCCUGGCUGGAGACGAGAUUCUGAUUAUUCAAGAGCCAAAACAAAAUGUCAGAAUAAAUAGUUAGAAGGCAGAUUUGUUUUCUAUUUGUUGUUGUUUUUAUUAUUAAUGCUCCACGACACAAAAUGUAUCACUGCUGUAACUCUUGAGUUUAAUAAAAUGUUCUUCUUUCAAUCUGUUAUUUCUGCUGUCAUUUUUUUUUUUACCAUAAUCAUUUGUGGAAACAUUAUAUAUUAAAGGAACGCCCACAUUUUUAAUAGAACUUCAUGACUGAUCAAAGCACAAACUGGAGAACAGGAUUAA
Xiphophorus hellerii (green swordtail) is the source of this 1746-nucleotide long non-coding RNA. RefSeq lists it as uncharacterized. The record is from RefSeq and is a predicted model, not a curated record. NCBI's taxonomy places the organism in Eukaryota, Metazoa, Chordata, Actinopteri, Cyprinodontiformes, Poeciliidae. The transcript is spliced from 4 exons.